GAUGAAGAACGUAGCGAAAUGCGAUAAGUAAUGUGAAUUGCAGAAUUCAGUGAAUCAUCGAAUCUUUGAACGCACAUUGCGCCCGUCAGUAUUCUGGCGGGCAUGCCUGUUCGAGCGUCAUUACGCCCCUCAAGUCCCCUGUGGACUUGGUGUUGGGGAUCGUCGAGGCUGGUUUUCCAGCACAGCCGUCCCUUAAAUUAAUUGGCGGUCUCGCCGUGGCCCUCCUCUGCGCAGUAGUAAAACACUCGCAACAGGAGCCCGGCGCGGUCCACUGCCGUAAAACCCCCCAACUUUUUAUAGUUGACCUCGAAUCAGGUAGGACUACCCGCUGAACUUAAGCAUAUCAAUAAGCGGAGGA
This 358-nucleotide unclassified non-coding RNA is filed under the name soil metagenome. Its description in RNAcentral is "partial contains 5.8S ribosomal RNA, internal transcribed spacer 2, and large subunit ribosomal RNA". The stretch from base 1 to 120 matches the Rfam family "5.8S ribosomal RNA", at positions 35 to 154 of the family's 154-position model. The record is from RNAcentral.